UGGGGAAUUUUGGACAAUGGGCGCAAGCCUGAUCCAGCAAUGCCGCGUGAGUGAAGAAGGCCUUCGGGUUGUAAAGCUCUUUUGUCAGGGAAGAAACGGCUUGGGUUAAUACCCUGGGCUAAUGACGGUACCUGAAGAAUAAGCACCGGCUAACUACGUGCCAGCAGCCGCGGUAAUACGUAGGGUGCAAGCGUUAAUCGGAAUUACUGGGCGUAAAGCGUGCGCAGGGCGGGUUUUGUAAGUCUGACGUGAAAUCCCCGGGCUUAACCUGGGAAUUGCGUUGGAGACUGCAAGGCUGGAGUCUGGCAGAGGGGGGUAGAAUUCCACGUGUAGCAGUGAAAUGCGUAGAGAUGUGGAGGAACACCGAUGGCGAAGGCAGCCCCCUGGGUCAAGACUGACGCUCAUGCACGAAAGCGUGGGGAGCAAACAGGAUUAGAUACCCUGGUAGUCCACGCCCUAAACGAUGUCUACUAGUUGUCGGGUCUUAAUUGACUUGGUAACGCAGCUAACGCGUGAAGUAGACC
This 524-nucleotide ribosomal RNA is filed under the name uncultured bacterium. RNAcentral describes it as "bacterial SSU rRNA". It matches the Rfam family "Bacterial small subunit ribosomal RNA", at positions 355 to 870 of the family's 1533-position model. The record is from RNAcentral.